Molecule: ribosomal RNA, 389 nt
Filed under: Biecheleria sp.
Lineage: Eukaryota; Dinophyceae; Suessiales; Biecheleriaceae
Description: partial small subunit ribosomal RNA
Rfam family: Eukaryotic small subunit ribosomal RNA
Source: RNAcentral
AUUCCAGCUCCAAUAGCGUAUAUUAAAGUUGUUGCGGUUAAAAAGCUCGUAGUUGGAUUCCUGCCGAGGAUGACCGGUCCGCCCUGUGGGUGUGCAUCUGGCUCAGCCUUGGCAUCUUCCUGAAGAACGUAGCUGCACUUGACUGUGUGGUGCGGUAUUUAGGACAUUUACUUUGAGGAAAUUAGAGUGUUUCAAGCAGGCAGUUGCUAUGAAUACAUUAGCAUGGAAUAAUAAUCUAGGACUUCGGUUCUAUUUUGUUGGUUUCUAGUACUGAAGUAAUGAUUGAUAGGGAUAGUUGGGGGUGCUAGUAUUGAGCGGCCAGAGGUGAAAUUCUUGGAUUCGCUCAAGACUAACUUAUGCGAAAGCAUUCACCAAGGAUGUCUUCAUUG